This 2793-nucleotide unclassified non-coding RNA is filed under the name Leishmania donovani. RNAcentral describes it as "gene:LdHU3.14.1200(CDS-product:hypothetical_prote in_conserved)". The record is from RNAcentral. Lineage: Eukaryota; Euglenozoa; Kinetoplastea; Trypanosomatida; Trypanosomatidae.
AAUAUAAGCGCGCACGCGCCAAACCCUCGAUACCCGCACCAGAGGUGACCCUUCCCCUUUCCUCUGUACCCUGGCUCUUGCCUGUUCCUCGCAGCGGGCACACCUCUCACAGCCACUGAGUUUUUAUCACACGCCACCUUCACACACACACACACACACACCACCACCACCACCACCACCACCACCACCGAGAAACGCGAUCACUGCCCGCGACCGCCGCGCUCUAGGCACGCCCGUCACGAACUGUCAUUAAGCUAUCUUCGCUACCGCUGCCUCUUCGUCCCCUUCUGGGGUUGUGUUUGCCGUGCUUCAGGAUGUUGCUCACCAAGGAAGAGGUCCAGACCAUCACUCUCAACGCCAAGUCGGUGCACAAGUACGCGGAUCAGGCGUUCUUCCCUGCUGAAAUCAACGAAGCCGGCAAGCGCAUCGGCGAUCAGCCGUUUCUCAACUUCUUUGUGCGCUACCAUCACCGUCAUGCGCCGGAGCAGUACUCGUGGUCGCGCUUGCGUCGCGUGCUGCUGCUCGAGGACGUAAUGGCAGCGCACAAGUCGAGCACAGCUCCCGUUGUGACCUCCCCGACGAUUGAGUGGCGCGGAAAGAUAUUCUGGGUCUGCUUCGCUGUGGAGCCGGUGCAGCCACGGUCGUCCUCGUCCGCGGCGCCUAACGACACAGUGAAGGAGGAGAUAGUGACGCUGCCGCAGCUGUCGAACACGGUUCCAACGGAGGACGAGGUUUUAGCCUUCUGCGUGGCUAGCGCGAACCAACGACCGACAGAGGUGUACGCGGAUGGAGUUCUCGGCGAGGCACCCGCGGCGCCGCCGGUUUUGCUUGAGUCCGGGGAAGUGGCGUCGGCAACCCAGCCGGUCGCGCAAGACCCUCUGCCGCAACCGGAGGGUGUGGAGGGCGUCAAUCAGGCGCCGCCGGCGGCGGCGCUCAACCCGCGCGCGUUUGUGCCGACCCCUCGGCAGGUGGAGUUACUUCGUCAAUACAAGAAGCAGCACCUGGCGCAGCAUCAGUGGACUGAGGAUGAGAUUGAAGAGUCGAAGGUGCUGCGGCAGCGGUACUGCACCUUGGGUGUAGCGACGGCACCUGUGCGCGCCGUCACCUACAUUCAGCACCACCGUGUUGAAGAGCGCAAGCAGCAAAGGCAUGCGCUCGGGACGUCCUCGUUUGCUGGUGCCGCGGCGCGGGAUCUGAACGCGUCACAGGCUGCCGAGCUGGACCUGUCGGAGGAGCCAGUAUUCAGUAUGGCCGCAGAAAGCGCCGACGUCUUUGCUGUGACACACACGCAACGCUCGACCCUCUCUGCAGUCGCGCCAUCAUCACCAUCCGCGGCCACAUCUACGACAAAUACACCGCUAUCACCAUUUCUGCCACGAAGCGUGCUGCGUGCUCAGCAGCAGCAGCACGCAUCCGCCUCACGCGCCUUGAAUCAGCAUGCCCCUGCCGAAGAGCCGUCUUCGGUAUUAAUCCUCGGCGACGGUGCGCCAGCGUCCUCCUCGCAGCUGUCCGUGUCGCAAACACCACCGCCCGAGACGCAAGCGCAGGCGAGCCUGCAGCCCGGAUCCUUGACGGCGCUGUCCCAGCAUCUGUCACAGCUCCGUGAAGCCGAGGAGUCCUUUUAUCAAUACAUCAGCGAGGAGUCCCGCAGCGCCUACCUGAACCGACUCGCCGACAUAACGAAGCGCAACAGCGAGACAAACACGCGCAAUCGCCGUCGCGGCAUCGCCAACGAGCGGCGUCUGGAGCGAAAGGGUAAUCUCCUGGAGUCGUGCGGCCUGUGGAUCACUGAUGACAAGGAGCGGGCGAGCAAGGCAGAGGACUACGUCAAGGCGCAGGCAGGCGACUCCAGCAGCACUAGAAAGAACGACGAGAGUACCACAGUCGCCAGCGCGGUAGCCGGCGGCGGCGCUGCCGGCGACGGUGCUGACACUGCAAAGAGCACCGAAGACGUGUUCGUGGAGCGGUUCAAGGCGUACUACGACGCGCAGCGGAUUACCUUCGCGGACUGCGCUGAUUCGGAUCUGUUUGCCGACGGCAAUGACGCGGACAUCGGCCCCCUCUUGCAUGCAGCCGCAGCCGUAUUCGAUGUCAGCCCAGAGUCUGGCAAGGCUCACCCACCGAGCAGCGCUGGCGCCGUGACGGAGGCGAUGCGCCUCGGCCGUCGUCCUGUGCGGCGUCUUUUGCCCAAUCGGCUUCGCACCGAGGAGAGCACGCCUGCGUUGGUGCAGGCGCAGCUGUUGCAUCGCAGUACUGUGCGUAUGGCGAAGCGCGCGCGAGAGGAGUGACGCGCGUGCCGUUGAUACCCGAGCGUGCAACAGCACCGCCGUCAUGGGCUGUUUGGCCCUUUAAGCACUGUGAGCGCCUCUGCAGGGUGUGCGUGUGUGUCUGUACCCCUUCCCUCUCGCGGCUCUGCGAUUGUAUGCGCCUCUCUCGCCUCUUUUGGGUUGCGUGGUGCCGUUCUGACGCUGUUCUGCGUUGUACGUAUGUGUCGUAAGGACGUCGUUGCGUGUCAAGAUGGGGGGAGGGGGCAGAGAACGAGCUGUGCGUGCGUGUCUGUGUAUGUGCGUGUCCUUGAGAUUCCGCCGGAGGAAGGCACCAACAUGUGUGGUGGUCGUGGUGGUAGGGGGAAUGGGGCUGAGACCGCAAAUAAAGAAGGGGGAAAGCGAAAAGGUUGAAGAAAAACGUCAUGUGCGCUUUUCAGCAAGACUUGCAGGCAGGAGACCAAGAACCGCGCGCGCGUAGUCUCAGUUGCCGAACAGCCCGUGCGCAUUCAGUGAACUGGCCUUUGAG